Molecule: long non-coding RNA, 366 nt
Organism: Spinacia oleracea (spinach)
Lineage: Eukaryota; Viridiplantae; Streptophyta; Magnoliopsida; Caryophyllales; Amaranthaceae
Exons: 3
Source: RefSeq, a predicted model, not a curated record
CUCCUCCUCAUGUUUCUCCUGUUCGUGUUCCCCCUGCUGCUCGUGCCCUUCAAUUUCAGAAACAAAGUUUCUGAAAUUGAAACUUUGUUUUAUUCCUCCUUAUUCAAGUUGGGCCAAAUCAAUUGGGCUUUGGAAAUUGGACUCGGAGUUCAGGAAGAACGAUCCAUCGAACAGGGAAUAUAAACUACGGUUGAGGUACGAAGAAGAUCAUGGGAUGCCUUAGAGUGAGGAUGCAACCAUCAAAUUCACGAUCGAUGUUUAAUAAAGAUAAUUAUGUAUCACUAGUAAAAAUGGAUGAACUAAUUAAACUCUAAGUCAAAUUUCAAUUAUUGAGAUGGAUUUUAAUAUUUAUGUUUAAUCAAUGUU